RNAcentral lists this ribosomal RNA (449 nucleotides) under uncultured bacterium. Its description in RNAcentral is "partial 16S ribosomal RNA". It matches the Rfam family "Bacterial small subunit ribosomal RNA", at positions 29 to 523 of the family's 1533-position model. The record is from RNAcentral.
AACGAACGCUGGCGGCAUGCCUAACACAUGCAAGUCGAACGAAGGCUUCGGCCUUAGUGGCGCACGGGUGCGUAACGCGUGGGAAUCUGCCCUUAGGUACGGAAUAACUCAGGGAAACUUGAGCUAAUACCGUAUAAUGACUUCGGUCCAAAGAUUUAUCGCCUAAGGAUGAGCCCGCGUCGGAUUAGCUAGUUGGUGAGGAAAAAGCUCACCAAGGCGACGAUCCGUAGCUGGUCUGAGAGGAUGAUCAGCCACGCUGGGACUGAGACACGGCCCAGACUCCUACGGGGGGCAGCAGUGGGGAAUAUUGGACAAUGGGCGCAAGCCUGAUCCAGCAAUGCCGCGUGAGUGAUGAAGGCCUUCGGGUUGUAAAGCUCUUUCGCCCGCGACGAUGAUGACGGUAGCGGGAGAAGAAGCCCCGGCUAACUUCGUGCCAGCCGCCGCCGUAA